RNAcentral lists this unclassified non-coding RNA (384 nucleotides) under uncultured bacterium. RNAcentral's name for it is "contains 16S-23S intergenic spacer region". The record is from RNAcentral.
UCCUGGUUUCCCAGGCAGUCCCAUCAGAGUGCUCGCUUACGCGAUAGCAACUGACAGCAGGGGUUGCGCUCGUUAUAGGACUUAACCCAACAUCUCACGACACGAGCUGACGACAGCCAUGCAGCACCUGUGAAUAUGUCCACGGUUUCCCGUGGAAAGCUCUAUCUCUAGAGUUGUCAUAAACAUGUCAAACCUAGGUAAGGUUCCUCGCGUAGUGUCGAAUUAAACCACAUGUUCCACCGCUUGUGCGGACCCCCGUCAAUUCCUUUGAGUUUUAAUCUUGCGACCGUAGUCCCCAGGCGGAUCACUUAUCGCGUUAGCUACGACACUAAGCCUGCAGAGCAAGCCUAACGUCUAGUGAUCAUCGUUUACAGCGUGGACUAC